GAGGAUAUAGCUCAGUGGUAGAGCUUAGCAUGCACGAGGUCCUGGGUUCAAUCCUCAGUAUCUCCA
Molecule: transfer RNA, 66 nt
Organism: Camelus ferus (Wild Bactrian camel)
Lineage: Eukaryota; Metazoa; Chordata; Mammalia; Artiodactyla; Camelidae
Rfam family: tRNA
About the family: Transfer RNA (tRNA) molecules are approximately 80 nucleotides in length. Their secondary structure includes four short double-helical elements and three loops (D, anti-codon, and T loops).
Source: Rfam